RNAcentral lists this ribosomal RNA (522 nucleotides) under uncultured bacterium. RNAcentral describes it as "bacterial SSU rRNA". It matches the Rfam family "Bacterial small subunit ribosomal RNA", at positions 777 to 1297 of the family's 1533-position model. The record is from RNAcentral.
AAUAGAUACCCCGGUAGUCCACGCCGUAAACGAUGAGUGCUAAGUGUUAGAGGGUUUCCGCCCUUUAGUGCUGCAGCUAACGCAUUAAGCACUCCGCCUGGGGAGUACGGUCGCAAGACUGAAACUCAAAGGAAUUGACGGGGGCCCGCACAAGCGGUGGAGCAUGUGGUUUAAUUCGAAGCAACGCGAAGAACCUUACCAGGUCUUGACAUCCUCUGACAACUCUAGAGAUAGAGCGUUCCCCUUUGGGGGACAGAGUGACAGGUGGUGCAUGGUUGUCGUCAGCUCGUGUCGUGAGAUGUUGGGUUAAGUCCCGCAACGAGCGCAACCCUUGAUCUUAGUUGCCAGCAUUUAGUUGGGCACUCUAAGGUGACUGCCGGUGACAAACCGGAGGAAGGUGGGGAUGACGUCAAAUCAUCAUGCCCCUUAUGACCUGGGCUACACACGUGCUACAAUGGAUGGUACAAAGGGCUGCAAGACCGCGAGGUCAAGCCAAUCCCAUAAAACCAUUCUCAGUUCGGA